Molecule: ribosomal RNA, 253 nt
Filed under: uncultured bacterium
Lineage: Bacteria
Description: partial 16S ribosomal RNA
Rfam family: Bacterial small subunit ribosomal RNA
Source: RNAcentral
UACGAAGGGGGCUAGCGUUGUUCGGAAUUACUGGGCGUAAAGGGCGCGUAGGCUGUGCUGUAAGUCAGGCGUGAAAUCCCCGGGCUCAACCUGGGAAUUGCGCAUGAUACUGCGGCGCUUGAAGACGGGAGAGGAUGGCGGAAUUCCCAGUGUAGAGGUGAAAUUCGUAGAUAUUGGGAAGAACACCGGUGGCGAAGGCGGCUCUCUGGUCCGGUUCUGACGCUGAGACGCGAAAGCGUGGGGAGCGAACAGG